Molecule: ribosomal RNA, 494 nt
Filed under: uncultured bacterium
Lineage: Bacteria
Description: partial 16S ribosomal RNA
Rfam family: Bacterial small subunit ribosomal RNA
Source: RNAcentral
GACGAACGCUGGCGGCGUGCUUAACACAUGCAAGUCGAACGGUGAAGCGCCUUCCUUUUUGGUGGGUGUGGAUGAGUGGCGAACGGGUGAGUAACACGUGAGUAACCUGCCCCCUUCUUCUGGAUAACCGCAUGAAAGUGUGGCUAAUACGUGAUAUUCUGGGUCUGUCGCAUGAUGGGUCUGGGAAAGAUAUUGUUUCGGUGGGGGAUGGGCUCGCGGCCUAUCAGCUUGUUGGUGGGGUGAUGGCCUACCAAGGCGGUGACGGGUAGCCGGCCUGAGAGGGUGGACGGUCACACUGGGACUGAGACACGGCCCAGACUCCUACGGGAGGCAGCAGUGGGGAAUAUUGCACAAUGGGCGCAAGCCUGAUGCAGCGACGCCGCGUGAGGGAUGGAGGCCUUCGGGUUGUGAACCUCUUUCGCCAGUGAAGCAGGCCUGCCUCGUUUGUGGGUGGGUUGACGGUAGCUGGAUAAGAAGCGCCGGCUAACUACGUG